AACGAACGCUGGCGGCAUGCCUAACACAUGCAAGUCGAACGAGACCUUCGGGUCUAGUGGCGCACGGGUGCGUAACGCGUGGGAAUCUGCCCUUAGGUUCGGGAAUAAACUUCGGGAAACUGAAGCUAAUACCGGAUGAUGACGUAAGUCCAAAGAUUUAUCGCCUAAGGAUGAGCCCGCGUUGGAUUAGCUAGUUGGUGAGGUAAAGGCUCACCAAGGCGACGAUCCAUAGCUGGUCUGAGAGGAUGAUCAGCCACACUGGGACUGAGACACGGCCCAGACUCCUACGGGAGGCAGCAGUGGGAAUAUUGGGACAAUGGGCGAAAGCCUGAUCCAGCAAUGCCGCGUGAGUGAUGAAGGCCUUAGGGUUGUAAAGCUCUUUUACCCGGGAUGAUAAUGACAGUAACCGGGAGGAAUAAGCUCCGGCUAACUCCGUGCCAGCAGCCGCGGUAAAGUGAC
Molecule: ribosomal RNA, 459 nt
Filed under: uncultured bacterium
Lineage: Bacteria
Description: bacterial SSU rRNA
Rfam family: Bacterial small subunit ribosomal RNA
Source: RNAcentral